AACCAAGGUGAUUCCCUCUCCAAGGGGACUAAUAGUGCCCCUCUUCAGGAAAGUAGCAACUUGGAAUAAAAUCUGGCAUGCCUCAGGUUUUCAAGGGAGAAAGUGACACAUCAUUUCCUUUGCCUUUGGCUGCCUACAUGU
This is a small nucleolar RNA of Eptesicus fuscus (big brown bat), 141 nucleotides long. RefSeq annotates it as small nucleolar RNA SNORA67. NCBI's taxonomy places the organism in Eukaryota, Metazoa, Chordata, Mammalia, Chiroptera, Vespertilionidae. The record is from RefSeq and is a predicted model, not a curated record. The transcript has a single exon.